ACAGCUUGUUCUAGCCCUCCACUCGUUUAAUGAUUGAAGGGCUGCCUUUCCUUGAGAGAUCCCUUUAGGAGCUGCUACUGUUUCCUCUUGCUUCUGUCAGUGCUAGGGAGGGCAAUGGCAGCCCUUCAUAAUUUGCCGUAUUUGCUUGGCUUGUCCCUUCUGAGUCCCUUGGUGCUUCAGCUGGGCACUGAUCUCUUGCUGCAGAUGAUGCAUUGCAAACAUGAAUGCCCUAUUUGGUUCAAUGGGAAUGGACAUUGGGAGCAAUGGGAGCAGUCAUGUUUGUCUGCUUUGUCCUGUAGCCAGGCUGGGAGUGGUCUGGCUUUUCUUUUGCUACUUUGAAAUCUCCUGAGAGUCCUGUGGGGUGCUGCACUGAGAGAAAUUAUCUAACUCUCAAGCCCAAGUCUGAAACCAUUGGAUACCUGGUGCUAGGCCAUGGGCGGCUAGAUGAUGUACCAGUUCCUUGUGGCAGGAAUUCUGUCUUGGUGUCCAGCUACUUUUGGUGAAUAAAACUGAAGAGUGAGUUAUUACAGCACUGCUCUUUCUCAUUUUUAUUGUUGCCCUUUCUUUCCAGUGACAAGCUGUUUCCUGCAUUUGGGUUUGGAGCUUGGGUUCCUCCUAGCUGGCAGGGAUCCAAGGAAUAACGGAUGCCUACCACCAAAUUCUGCUGCAGAUCCAGCUCUACAGGCCAACCAACUUCUCUCCUAUUAUAAACCACGUGGCAAGGAUUGCAGCACACUUGCUGCAACAAGGAACUGCUGCAGUAAGUGCAAGGUCUUUAUUGUGGAUAUGCUUUGGGUUGAUGUUUCUGUUUUCCAUGUUGAUGGUUGAAUAGAAUGGAAUAGUAAAUUGAUGUUAACUUCCUUCCUUUGAAUUCCAAGUUUGGUCUUCUAUUGUCAGCCUACAGAGAGCAUGUCGAUGCUCUCUCUUGGUACAUACUCAUAUGAACCUAUACUGGGUAGACACAUUAGUUUCAUUGCUCAAGUGAUAUUUAUUUCUCUCCCAGUUUGCUGGCACUGUUCUUACUGUUGCGUUGUACAGGGGUGCUGUGUUGGCUGUUCAGCCAGUUGGACUGAGGCAGCAGUUGCCUUGCUCUAAUCUCUCUUACCAAGCUCUGUUACCUGUAGGGCAUGCACAUAGAAUAGAGUUUUGUGCUGAACAAUUUUGCUCUCAAGAAUGUUGAGAAAAAACCUCUAAGCAGCUACCAGAGGGCUUGACUGUCUGUCCCACCAUAGUGGCAUGGAGUCUGAGAACUGUUCAAUCACUGUGCUGAUUGCAGAGCAUGUGUGCUUCUCUAUGGUCAUGGGCUCAUUUGUGUGCUGGUGUGGCCAUGUUUGCUGUUAAAAUUUUACUUCAUUUCUUUAAAACUUAAUUAGUUUUGCUUAAGAAUGAAGGACUUGGAUGUACUGAUGAUUUUAGCUGAUUUCAUUCUGACAGACCAAUCAGAAAAUUUUGACAUAUUACUGUGCUACUUGUUUUAUCACCAAGCUCUGUCAGCAUUUUGGUGCUCCUUAAUAUUUGUAUGUAUAUCAAAUGUAUUUCCCAUGCUGUGAGCCACUUGGGCUAAGGAGAUCCAUUUCUUGCAUUUCUGAGGGUAUUUUUUAACUUUCCCAGCACUUUGGGGAAAUAUUCCUCAUUCUUGUAAUGUGUUAAAUAUCUCUACUUUUUCUUUCAGAUUUAAACCUAACUAUUUAAAUAAAGAAUCAGCAUUUGGGUACAGCAAUUUGUAUUAACUGUGCUUUGGAAUUGGAAAUUCAGUUUUCUCUUUUUCAUUGUGUUUGCCUCCUUUUAAGUCUGUAAAUAGCUGCUAUAAAACAGCAGUUGCUCAUUUCAAAACCAGGUACUAAACUUCAGCUUCUGGAAAAUUAUAGAAAUUUUAAACACUUUACCACACUAACACAUUGGUUUGAGGUACUCAUUUCUUUCUGGAAAAGCUCUUGUUCCCUUCAUGUUACCUCUAGAACCUCUCAUGGUUUUUAUCACUGCUGUGUUUUGGAUAUCUAAUACUUCUAAUGCUUCUAAUUAGACACACCCGAAUUAAAUUAUCGAUAAAAAAAGAACCAAGGCUUUUUGAGUUAUACUGCAGGGAUAUUAAAUAUCUCUAGCUUUUCUGAACGCCAGUCAGUAAAACAGCACCUAUCACUGAAUUUCAUAUGCAGCUGUGUUUAUUUACUAGUACUUUUUGUCUCUAGUACUUUUUGCCUAUUGAUGUAACUGUUCUUUAUAAAUUGAACUUAAUACUUUCUCUUUUUUCUAGUACAGAGAAAAUUGGAAGUGCACAGUGAAAGUCAUUAGGCAUAGGAAAAAUGUGAAUGAACAUAAGUUUCUUUAAUGUUCUGGUUUUGUCUCAUGCACAGCAACAUUUCAUUUCUUUCUUAGCAUAUGGGAGUGCUCUAUCUGCCUUCAGUUAUGUGAGCUCUGAUGUUGAAAUACCUAACAGAACUGAGCUCUGAUGUUGAAAUACCUAACUGUAUGCUUUCUCAUGUUUUUCAGCAAUACUUUUAUCUUGCUGAUCAUCACAGAUGGAGAGAUCACUCAUCUAGACCAAACUAGGCAAGCCAUUGUUAAAGAGCCAGCUGCACAAGACAUUGUCCAGUUUGUGCCUUUCCAACAGUUCAAAAAUAUAUGUUGUUUUUUUUUUAAUUCAGAAGAGUCCCAUUGCCAGGAUGUAUGCAUCCUAAAAAUGACCACGGUCUUGACAAGGCAGCAAGCUGCAUGCUCAGAGGACAUGCCUGUGCAGCUUGUUCCCAGUGAGAGUUGAGAUGUUGGCUUCUGUGUUCAAAGCUGUAUCUUGCUGUCUUGCCAUUCUUGAGAGCCUUCAUUGUAUAAUUGAUUUUGCAUACUAUCUCUUGGCUAUUGCAGGCUUAAAGGGGAUGUUCUCUGUCCUGGGAUAUGAACAUUUAGCAGAGAACUGAGAUCAUACUGUCAGUCUCUGAUGCUGAGGCCCAUGAGUGAUUGAAGUUGAGGUCAGUCUGCUGCUGUCGAAAGCAGUUCUGUCACACACCAGCUCCCUGACUUCCACUGUUGGCAUUGGUGUUCAUGCAUUUUGCAUAGUCUAUUUGCUUGAGUGAUUCAAAUGAAAACCCAAAAUGAGAGACCUUGCUAGUGGCUAGGGCAGUUUUCACUCAGACUGGGGCCACAUAAGGGCUAUGUGAGUCUGAGGUUGAAGUGAGAACAAGUGGUUUUUCAUCAGCAGUGUUCACUGAGACGGACUGGAAAUGCUCCUAAAGCUGUAGCAAGCAAUUCUUAAAACAGAAUGAGCAGGGGAGGUGUUCUGAAUUCUCUAAGAGAGUGUUUCACUAGGCUACCAAAUCUGUUCUUUGUGGUAUUUUUGAUUUAUUCUCCCCAUUCUCCUUUCAGGCUUCCCAGGAAGCACUUUCCCAGAUAGUUCUGGCUGAAGUGCCCAAGCAGCUAGUGUCAUUAUAUGAAUGGCUGGGAUGGCCACCCCUGAAACUGCCAGAAAUCAAGGUGAUGUAGAUUCAGCUAGCCCUGGCUACCUGUAGCUUUGGGGUGAAGGAGAGCUGCUUGCAGCCACACUCUCUCUUGCACACUGUGGAUGCUCGGUGCCUUGAGAUUGCACCAGUCACACCACUUCUUUCACCUAUUUGCGCUGAGACUUUGAUCUUUCAAAGAUUUCUAUUGAAAGAAAUGUAAAUACAGAAAAACCUCCAAGUGCUGGAAGUUUUUGUCACAGAAAGAUUGACCUUGUUUGUUUUCCACCUUGCAACAGCGACACUUUGUGAUACAUCACACUGCACAUAGUUGCUUGACACAGCCCAUCUGCUGCUCACUAUGAGAGUAGGCCUCUGAACUGAGCUGCUCUAGUGCUGACCUUGGUGAUAGAAGUGUUGCACCUGUGUUUGCUGUAAUGACACUUAUCAUGUGCUCCUGGAUAGGUGUCUUUUAUCAAGCUGCCUUUCAAAUGGAUGUGACCAAAGACUGUUGGUUGGAUGCCUGAGGUAGUUCCUGUUGUCUUCAUAAAGUGCCAGUAUAUUUUUUUUAUGUUUCAGUGACCAUACCUUUCUGACCAUACCUUUCUUUUUAAUCACAUUUUUCUAUUAGCAAAAUUUCUUUCUGUGAUGAACUCCUGCUUGAAGCCAUUGUUAUAGUUCAAGAACACUGCACUUGGCUUAUUUAUGUGGGUUAAAUGAGAAUUAAUCAUUAAUUAAUGGAAUUGGGGUGAGAUUAAUGAGUCAUAUUAAUGUGACUUUAAAAAUCCUGUAGAUGGAAACACUGAAAUGAAGAUGCUUGGAGUGAAUUCUUUAUAUCACACAAGUUACAAAGCGAAGAAGUAACUUUUCUGUGGAAGUCCAAGGAGGUGCCACCUCGGUAGUGUGAAGUGUGCAUUACAUGAUCUGGGGACUGUAGAACAGGCAUAUGAUAGCAAAGCACAAAUGUUUUGAGGAAGUUGGUUUAUUUCAAAGUAGAGACAAAGAAGCUUGGGGUUGUCAUUGCACUACAAGUUUCAACACUUUCAGUUAUAUAAAUAAACAUCCUACUUAGACUUAGAUAACAUGUCUGGACUCUGAUUUCCUUCCUGGACUUUUCCCUUUGUUUUCCAGCAAUGUGGAUGGUGAUGUUUCAGUAUCUGAGUGAGCCUAGGUUCAGUGAGAUCCAAAUAAAAAGCAGAGCCAGUUGUCCAUCAUUGUUAAUUUUGUUCCCCUUUAAGACUGCUGAAUCCCACAGCCCUUUCUGCAGCAAAAUAAGAUGUUCCUUUACUGUGAAGUUGCAAAAUGUAUUCUCACCAUCUUCUGGUUUAUCUACCUGAUAAACCAGAAGAUGGUGAGAAUACUUUGACAGACUGCAUCUGUGAUCCAGGCCCUGAAACUUAAAUUACAAGCUUGAGUGAAAGCAGAACUUGGGGUUGAAUUCCCAGAAUUCACAGAAUGACUAGGUUGGAAGAGACCUUCAAGAUCAUCAAGACCAACCCAUGCUCUAACACCUCAACUAAACCAUGGCACCGAGUGCCACAUCCAGGCGUUUUUUUAAACACAUGCAUGGAUGGUGACUCCACCACCUCCCUGGGCAGGCCAUUCCAGUACUUUAUCACUCUUCAGUAAAAAACUUUUUCCUAAUGUCCAACCUAUAUUUCCCCUGGUGCAGCUUAAGACUGUGUCCUCUGGUUCUGUUAGUUGUUGCCUGGAGAAAGAGACCUACCCCCACCUGGCUACAACCACAUUUCAGGAAGUUGUAGAGAGUGAUAAGGUCACCCUCAAGUCUCCUUUACUCCAGACUAAACAACCCCAGCUCCCUCAGUCAUUCUUCACAGGGUUUCUAUUCCAAACCCCUCAGCAGCCUUGUUGCCCUCCUCUGGGCGUGCUCAAGUGUCUCAAAGUCCUUCCUAAACUGAGGGCCCAGAACUGGACGCAAUACUCAAGGUGGGUCCUCACCAGUGCCCAGUGCAGGGGCAGAAUGCCCUCCCUGCUCUUGCUGGCCACACCACUCCUGAUCCAGGCCAGGAGCCAUGGGCCUUCUUGGCCACCAGGGCACACUGCUGGCUCACGUUCAGCUGGCUGUCAACCAGUAACCCCAGGUCCCUUUGGUCUGAGCACUGUCCAGCCACACUGUCCCCAGCCUAUAACGUUGCAGGGGGUUAUUGUGGCCAAAAUGCAGAACUGGGCACUUGGAUUUGUUAACUUUAUCCUAUUGGACUCUGCCCAUCCGUCCAACCGUUCCAGGUCUCCCUGCAGAGCCCUCCUACCCUCCAACAGAUGGACGCUCCCAGCUUGGAGUUGUCUGCAAAUUUACUAAUGAGAGACUGAAUACCCUCAUCCAUGUCAUCAAUAAAAAUAUUGAACAGAGCUCGCCCCAGAACAGAGCCCUGAGGGACACCCCUGGUGCCUGGCUGCCAGCUGGAUACAGCACUGCUCACUGCCACUCUCUGGGCCAUGCAGCCAGUUCUGAGCCCAGCACAGAGUGCUCCUGUCCCAGCCCUGGGCUGCAGCUUUUCCAGGAGUGUCAAAGGCCUUGGUGAAGUCCAGAUACACAUCAACAUCUACAGCCUUUCCUGCAUCCACCAGGAGGGUCACCUGAUCACAAAAGGAGACCAGGUUGGUCAAACAUGACCUACCCCUCCUAAACCACUGCUGGCUGGGUCUGAUACCCUGGUAGUCCUGCAAGUGCUGCAUGAUGACACUCAGUAUAAACUGUUCAAUUACCUUACAGGGUACUGAGGUCAGGCUGAGUGGUCUGUAAUUACUUGGAUCCUCCUUCCCACCCUUGUUGUGAAUGGGUGUCACAUUGGCCAGCUUCCCGUCAUCUGGAACCUCACUCGUGAGCCAGGACUGCUGGUAAAUGGUGGAGAGCGAGUUCAUAAGCUCAUCUGCCAGCUCCCUCAUCACCCUGGGGUGGAUCCUAUUUGGUCCCAUGUAUUUAUGAAUAUACAAGCUGCUCAGCAGUUCUCUGACUGCCUCCUCUUAGAUAAUGGGGGGACCAUUCUGCCCCCUGAUGUCAUCAACCAAUCUAAGAGGACAGCUGUCCUGAAGGCAAGUCGUCUUCUCACUAAAAACUGAGGCAAAGAAGGUGGUAAACACUUCUGCCUUCUCUUAGUCUGCAGUUAUUAAGUUCCCUUUCAGAUCUAAUAAAGAAUAAAGCUUGGUCUUACCCUUUCUUUUACAAUGGAUAUAUUUGCAAAAACAUAUUUUAUUAUCCUUUACAGAAGUUGCCAUUUUAAGUUCAAACUGACCUUUGGCCUCCCUAAUUUUUUUUUCCCACAUGCUCUAGCAAGCCCCUUAAAUACUUCCUGAGACACCUGACCCUCCUACCAAAGAUGAUACAUCUUCUUUUUAUUCCUAAGCUCCUCCAAAACCUCCUUGCCCAUUCAGGCUGGACAUUUGCCUCAUCAACUCAUCUUUCGGCACACAGGGACAGUCGGUUCCUGUGCCCUCAAGAUCUCUGUUUCGAAGCACACCCACCUUUCAUGAAGUCCUUUUUUUUUAAGGGUGCUUCCCAAGGAACUCUCUGAAUAAGUCUCCUAAGUAGGCCAAAGUCUGCCCUCCGGAAGUCCAAUGUAAAAAUAUUAUUGGUGUUCCUCCUCAUUUCACCAAAUAUCAAGAAUUCUAUAAUUUCAUGAUCACAGUGCCCCAAGCGACCUCUAACCACAUCUCCCACCAGCCCACCUCUAUUUGCAAACAGCACAUCUAACACAGUCCCUCUCCGGUGGGCUCAUCCACUGGCUGCAACAAAAAGUUGUCCUCCACACACUCUAAAAAUUUCCUGGACUGCCUUUUUUCAGCUGUAUUAAGUUCCCAGCAGAUCUCUGGCAAAUUGAAGUCUCCUACAAGAACAAGGGCUGAUGAACCUGAAAUUCUAGCUGUUUAUAGAAUAAGUUGUCCACCUCUUCUUCCUGGUUGGGUGGACGAUAACAGACUCCAAGUAGGAUGUCAGCCUUGUUGGCCUUCCCCCUAAUUCUUACCCAUAGGCUUUCAGCUUCAUCGUCAUUAGUUUCAAUACCUAUGGCAACAAAAGCCUCCCUAAUAUAAAGCGCCACCCCUCCACCUCUUCUCCCUUUCCUGUCUCUCCUGAAGAGCUUGUAGCCAUCCAGUGCAGCACUCCAGCCAGGUGAGCCAUCCCAUCACGUUUCCCUGAUGGCAAUUAUAUCACAGCUCUGCUGCUGGACCAUGGCCUCCAGCUCUUCUUGUUUGUUACCCAUGCUAUGUGCACUGGUAUACAUGCACCUCAGCUGGGCUGCUGAUUUCACCCCAACUCAGGCUUACCACCCUUGGGUCUGCAUUCAGACAGCGCAGAUGCAUCUCCUUCCCCUUUCAGACCUAGUUUAAAGCCCUCCCAACAAGUUCUGCCAGUUCAUGAGCUAAAAA
Melospiza georgiana is the source of this 7814-nucleotide long non-coding RNA. RefSeq lists it as uncharacterized. The transcript has 2 exons. Lineage: Eukaryota; Metazoa; Chordata; Aves; Passeriformes; Passerellidae. The record is from RefSeq and is a predicted model, not a curated record.